Molecule: unclassified non-coding RNA, 390 nt
Filed under: soil metagenome
Description: partial contains 5.8S ribosomal RNA, internal transcribed spacer 2, and large subunit ribosomal RNA
Rfam family: 5.8S ribosomal RNA (bases 1-122)
Source: RNAcentral
GAUGAAGAACGUAGCGAAAUGCGAUACUUGGUGUGAAUUGCAGAAUCCCGCGAAUCAUCGAGUUUUUGAACGCAAGUUGCGCCCGAAGCCAUUUGGCCGAGGGCACGUCUGCCUGGGUGUCACGCAUCGUUGCCCCCCCAAACUCCGGUUCGGGCGGGGCGGAAGUUGGCCUCCCGUGCGUGCCUGCGCGCGCGGUUAGCCCAAAAGCGAGUCCUCGGCGACGAGCGCCACGACAAUCGGUGGUUUUUUUACCCUCGUUCCUCGUCGUGCGUGUCCCGUCGCCCGAACGCGCUCUUGUGACCCUCACGCGUCGCCUCGGCGGCGCUCCCAACGCGACCCCAGGUCAGGCGGGACUACCCGCUGAGUUUAAGCAUAUCAAUAAGCGGAGGA